UACAGAGGUCCCGAGCGUUGUUCGGAUUCAUUGGGCGUAAAGGGUGCGUAGGCGGCUCGCCAAGUGCUUUGUGAAAUCCCACAGCUCAACUGUGGAACAGCAGGGCAAACUGGCGAGCUUGAGGCAGGUAGGGGCCGGAAGAACAGUUGGUGGAGCGGUGAAAUGCGUAGAUAUCAACUGGAAUGCCGAUGGGGAAGCCGUCCGGCUGGGCCUGUCCUGACGCUGAGGCACGAAAGCGUGGGGAGCAAACAGG
RNAcentral lists this ribosomal RNA (253 nucleotides) under uncultured bacterium. RNAcentral's name for it is "partial 16S ribosomal RNA". It matches the Rfam family "Bacterial small subunit ribosomal RNA", at positions 524 to 776 of the family's 1533-position model. The record is from RNAcentral.